AGUGAACGCUGGCGGUAGGCCUAACACAUGCAAGUCGAACGGCAGCACAGUAAGAGCUUGCUCUUACGGGUGGCGAGUGGCGGACGGGUGAGGAAUACAUCGGAAUCUACUUUUUCGUGGGGGAUAACGUAGGUAAACUUACUCUAAUACCGCAUACGACCUACGGGUGAAAGCAGGGGAUCUUCGGACCUGUCGCGAUUGGAUUAGCGGAUGUCGGAUUAGCUAGUUGGGGGGUUAAAGGCCCACCAAGUCGGCGAUCCGUAGCUGGUCUGAGAGGAUGAUCAGCCACACUGGAACUGAGACACGGUCCAGACUCCUACGGGAGGCAGCAGUGGGGAAUAUUGGACAAUGGGCGGAAGCCUGAUCCAGCCAUACCGAGUGGGUGAAGAAGGCCUUCGGGUUGUAAAGCCCUUUUGUUGGGAAAGAAAAGCAGCAGGUUAAUACCCCGCUGUUCUGACGGUACCCAAAGAAUAAGCACCGGCUAACUUCGUG
RNAcentral lists this ribosomal RNA (492 nucleotides) under uncultured bacterium. RNAcentral's name for it is "partial 16S ribosomal RNA". It matches the Rfam family "Bacterial small subunit ribosomal RNA", at positions 29 to 507 of the family's 1533-position model. The record is from RNAcentral.